RNAcentral lists this ribosomal RNA (230 nucleotides) under Apocephalus clavicauda. RNAcentral's name for it is "partial 16S ribosomal RNA". Lineage: Eukaryota; Metazoa; Arthropoda; Insecta; Diptera; Phoridae. The record is from RNAcentral.
UGAACCCCGAAUCCUAACUGUGCAAAGGUAGCAUAAUCCUUAGUCUUUUAAUUGGAGGCUGGAAUGAAUGGUUGGAUGAGAUAUUAACUGUUUCAUAAAAAUUUAUAAUAGAAUUUUAUUUUUUAGUCAAAAAGCUAAAAUAAUAUUAAAAGACGAGAAGACCCUAUAAAUCUUUGUAUUGUAUUGGGGUGAUAUUAAAAUUUAAUAAACUUUUAAUUUAUAGUUUACAU